GGGCGUAAAGGGCGCGUAGGUGGUUUGGUAAGUCGGAUGUGAAAUCCCCGGGCUCAACCUGGGAACUGCAUUCGAAACUGCCUGGCUAGAGUUUGGUAGAGGGAAGUGGAAUUCCACAUGUAGCGGUGAAAUGCGUAGAGAUGUGGAGGAACACCAGUGGCGAAGGCGGCUUCCUGGACCAAAACUGACACUGAAGCGCGAAAGCGUGUGGAGCAAACAGGAUUAGAUACCCUGGUAGUCCACGCCGUAAACGAUGAGAACUAGACGUUGGAAGGCUUCGUCCUUCUAGUGUCGCAGCUAACGCGAUAAGUUCUCCGCCUGGGGAGUACGGUCGCAAGACUAAGACUCAAAGGAAUUGACGGGGGCCCGCACAAGCGGUGGAGUAUGUGGUUUAAAUUCGAUGCAACGCGAAAAACCUUACCUGCUCUUGACAUGUCAGGAACGGGGCAGAGAUGUCCCGGUGCCCGAAAGGGAACCUGAACACAGGUGCUGCAUGGCUGUCGUCAGCUCGUGUCGUGAGAUGUUGGGUUAAGUCCCGUAACGAGCGCAACCCUUGUCUUUAGUUGCCAUCAUUUAGUUGGGCACUCUAGAGAGACUGCCGGUGACAAACCGGAGGAAGGUGGGGAUGACGUCAAGUCCUCAUGGCCUUUAUGGGCAGGGCAACACACGUACUACAAUGGCCGGUACAGAGGGUCGCCAACCCGCGAGGGGGAGCCAAUCCCAGAAAACCGGUCGUAGUCCGGAUCGGAGUCUGCAACUCGACUCCGUGAAGUCGGAAUCGCUAGUAAUCGC
Molecule: ribosomal RNA, 792 nt
Filed under: uncultured Gammaproteobacteria bacterium
Lineage: Bacteria; Pseudomonadati; Pseudomonadota; Gammaproteobacteria
Description: bacterial SSU rRNA
Rfam family: Bacterial small subunit ribosomal RNA
Source: RNAcentral